GGUGGCUCAGUGGUAGAGUGUUUGCCUCACAUGCAUAAGGCCCUGGGUUCAAUUCCUCAGCACCA
This 65-nucleotide transfer RNA is filed under the name Dipodomys ordii (Ord's kangaroo rat). It matches the Rfam family "tRNA". Rfam says of the family: Transfer RNA (tRNA) molecules are approximately 80 nucleotides in length. Their secondary structure includes four short double-helical elements and three loops (D, anti-codon, and T loops). The record is from Rfam by way of RNAcentral. Lineage: Eukaryota; Metazoa; Chordata; Mammalia; Rodentia; Heteromyidae.